RNAcentral lists this ribosomal RNA (459 nucleotides) under uncultured bacterium. RNAcentral's name for it is "partial 16S ribosomal RNA". It matches the Rfam family "Bacterial small subunit ribosomal RNA", at positions 338 to 795 of the family's 1533-position model. The record is from RNAcentral.
CCUACGGGCGGCAGCAGUGAGGAAUAUUGGUCAAUGGACGCAAGUCUGAACCAGCCAUGCCGCGUGCAGGAAGACGGCUCUAUGAGUUGUAAACUGCUUUUGUACGAGGAUAAAAUGCGAUACGUGUAUCGUGUUGAAAGUAUCGUACGAAUAAGGAUCGGCUAACUCCGUGCCAGCAGCCGCGGUAAUACGGAGGAUGCGAGCGUUAUCCGGAUUUAUUGGGUUUAAAGGGUGCGCAGGCGGAAGAUAAAGUCAGCGUUAAAAUUCAGAGGCUCAACCUCUUCGAGCCGUUGAAACUGGUUUUCUUGAGUGAGCGAGACGUAUGCGGAAUGCGUGGUGUAGCGGUGAAAUGCAUAGAUAUCACGAAGAACUCCGAUUGCGAAGGCAGCAUACCGGCGCUCAACUGACGCUGAUGCACGAAGGUGUGGGUAUCGAACAGGAUUAGAUACCCGGGUAGUC